Molecule: ribosomal RNA, 522 nt
Filed under: Triticum aestivum (bread wheat)
Lineage: Eukaryota; Viridiplantae; Streptophyta; Magnoliopsida; Poales; Poaceae
Description: partial small subunit ribosomal RNA
Source: RNAcentral
AUGAGGGAUUAUCUAUGCAACAAGGUGAUCCCUGCUAUACAAGACAAAUGGCCUGACGAAGAUAUUGGAAGAACCAUCUAUAUACAGCAGGAUAAUGCCAAGCCACAUGUCCUGCCUAAUGACGUGGGUUUUCAAGAGGCUGUAGCACAAACGGAUCUUGAUAUUCGGUUGUUGCAACAACCACCCAACAGCCCCGAUAUGAACGUUUUAGACCUAUGCUUGCACAAUUCUCUUCAAUCCCUAACUGAUAGCUUAUCACCUAAAACUAUUCAGGAAUUGGUAGAAGGUGUGGAGGAACAGUUCGAGAACUAUGAGGUUCAGAAGUUGUUUAGAAGCUUCGUGACACUCCAGGCAGUUAUGAUUGAGGUUAUGAAAAAUAAAGGAGGCAAUGAGUAUACACUCCCGCAUUUGCAUAAAGAUCGCCAUCAAAAUGAAGGAAGGCCAGCAAUCUUUCUAUCUUGCGAUGCUCGGCUAGUUGCUGAGACCAAGACCCUUAUAGAGGAAGGAGAGAGAGAGGAGUGA